CUUGAUAAGCGACAUGGAAGCUUGGGAAAGAAGCGGGUCAAAUGGAACUUAUGUGCACGGGAAGCGUACUCGGAUGCAAGGUUGAUCGGGUCACGGAGGAUUAACAAGGGACAAAGAUCAUGGACCGAGUCACAUGAAGGAUUGUACGGGGUGUCUAAGAAUGUAAUUUGUUAUACAUAAGUUAUGUUUUAUUCUAUAAUUGAGUUAGUUUGAUGUAUUCAAUAUAAAGGAGUUAUUUUAAAAGUGAACUUUCAAGUAAGACAUAAGGUUUAUAAUGAAAGAAAUUUUAUGG
Molecule: long non-coding RNA, 292 nt
Organism: Helianthus annuus (common sunflower)
Lineage: Eukaryota; Viridiplantae; Streptophyta; Magnoliopsida; Asterales; Asteraceae
Exons: 2
Source: RefSeq, a predicted model, not a curated record